Long non-coding RNA from Hyla sarda, 571 nucleotides. RefSeq lists it as uncharacterized. The record is from RefSeq and is a predicted model, not a curated record. The transcript has 4 exons. NCBI's taxonomy places the organism in Eukaryota, Metazoa, Chordata, Amphibia, Anura, Hylidae.
CAACAGCAGAGCGGAGCAGCGAGGAAGAGGACGCGCGCGCAUGGUAAGGUCCCGGUCGCAAAUCUUCAUUUCGUCUGCGACCCGCGCGGGACGGUGACGGUGACGUCACUCACAGCCGCCGCCAGGGAGAAGGAGCAAGGCACGGGCCGGGAGGAGGAUGAGGAUCUGCUGACAAUGUGAGGAGCCUAUGAUGUCCGGGCAUCAGACUCUGCAGAGAAGAUGGAGCUGGAAGAAGUCCUGGCGUCUGGACCAGAUAAAGAAGGAAAGGAAAGACAACAGAGAAGACAUCACUCAGCUUCUGAGGACAAUAAAAAGAAAGAGUCUGAGCCAAUGGACAAUGUGUAGAGAAGGAGUCAUCACCGGAGACAUCGCACUCACCUUCCCCGCACAACUUAUGGUCACGGAGCUGUUAGAGUUCUCCUUUACUGGAACUGGAAGGAAAUUUAUCACCUGUAAGAAGAGACCAGAAGGUUAUCUGCAUGUAGGACGGGGCCAGGAGGAAAUGGGACCUAUGAUAAGUGGGAAGGAGCCAUGACAGGGGGAGAUGUGCGGACUGGGGGACGAGGUGCGG